GAGAGGAAAUGGAAUAGUUAAAUACUCUUCCUUUUUAUGGGUGCUUAUAGUUGGCUGAGAUGUUGUAAAUGGUUCUAGUAUUGCUUGCUGUUGGAUUUGGCUGUGUGUGGCUCUUAUGAGGCUUGUUGUGUGUCCGUGUUGAUGGUCGGUUUUGUAGAUGUGACUGGUUUCACUGUUCGGAUCUCGGAGUCGGAACGGUGUAGAGGUGCUCUUUUGAAGGGUGACCUGGGGACAGUUUUUUUGUGGGAUGGCGGGUCCAGGGACCAUCUGAGUAUGGGUGCUUGCUGGUGCAUAGGCUUCCUGUGGGCUGCCGUUUUGAGCUGGGCUUGCUCUAUUUUCAGGCUUAUACUUAGAUAAUAUGCACUAUGAUAACUUUCCUG
RNAcentral lists this long non-coding RNA (380 nucleotides) under Androctonus crassicauda. The record is from RNAcentral. Lineage: Eukaryota; Metazoa; Arthropoda; Arachnida; Scorpiones; Buthidae.